GACGUAGGGUGCAAGCGUUGUCCGGAUUUACUGGGCGUAAAGAGCGCGUAGGCGGUCUGUUAAGUGUAGAGUGAAAUCUCCAGGGCUCAACCCGGAAACUGCUCUGCAUACUGGCAGACUGGAGGGACUGAGAGGUGAAUGGAAUUCCUGGUGUAGCGGUGAAAUGCGUAGAUAUCAGGAAGAACACCCGUGGCGAAGGCGGCUCUCUGGGACGGUACUGACGCUGAGACGCGAAAGCGUGGGGAGCGAACAGG
RNAcentral lists this ribosomal RNA (254 nucleotides) under uncultured bacterium. RNAcentral's name for it is "partial 16S ribosomal RNA". It matches the Rfam family "Bacterial small subunit ribosomal RNA", at positions 524 to 776 of the family's 1533-position model. The record is from RNAcentral.